CUUUUAUUUCAUUCUUUUGGAAUCGGAGAGAAACAAGUUGCUGCCCCAGGAAAGCGUGCAUUUUCGGAGAUCACUCAUUGCAGAAGAAGCCAACUGCCAUGCCAGAGGGGCACUCAAACAGCUCUGCAAGGAAGUCCCUGUGAUAAGCAACUGAAGACUCUGCCAUCGGCCAUGAGAGCGCCACCUUGGAAACAGAUUCUUCAGCCUUAGUCAAAUUUUCAGAAGACUGUAUGUCCAGCCAACUUCUUGACUACAAUCCCUUUAUAGAUCCCAAGCUAGAACCUCCCAGCUAAGCCACUCCUGGAUUCCUGACCCUGAGAAACUCUGUGAGAGAAUAAAUGUUUAUUCUUGCCUUAAGCUCCUAAAUUUGGAGGUAAUUUGUUACUCAGUGAUAUGUAAUUAAAAAUGUCUGUAGUUAUCUACCCAUCCUUUUGGAGAGCACUACUGAGGACUAAUAUCAGACUUUAUACUCUUCCCAGAUGUUAUCAUUGAAGGAUAUUCAAGUACUCAAAUAUCUUAGGAUCAUUGAGUGGGAAAUCACCUCAGAGUCAUGUGCAGUUUCCUCAUUUUGCAGAUGCAAAUGCAGAGAAGCAGAGAGAGUUCAAUGAGAUGCUCAAAGACAUUUAAAUAAAUGACAAAAUUAGGCCUAGACCCUUCCCUGGUCUUCUUCUAUUGGAGUUCUUCUUUCUCCUUCUUUCUCUUUCCCUCCCUCCCUCCCUUCCUUCCUUCCAUCUUGCCUGCCUGCCUGCGUUCUUCUGUCCUGCCUUCCUGCCUUCCUCC
This 780-nucleotide long non-coding RNA is filed under the name Homo sapiens (human). Its description in RNAcentral is "HSALNT0318828". Lineage: Eukaryota; Metazoa; Chordata; Mammalia; Primates; Hominidae. The record is from RNAcentral.